This 403-nucleotide ribosomal RNA is filed under the name Chrysochromulina rotalis. RNAcentral describes it as "partial small subunit ribosomal RNA". It matches the Rfam family "Eukaryotic small subunit ribosomal RNA", at positions 30 to 432 of the family's 1831-position model. The record is from RNAcentral. Lineage: Eukaryota; Haptophyta; Prymnesiales; Chrysochromulinaceae.
GCUUGUCUCAAAGAUUAAGCCAUGCAUGUCUAAGUAUAAACAACUUUAUACUGUAAAACUGCGAACGGCUCAUUAUAUCAGCAAUAAUUUAUUUGAUGGUUUCUUACCCCAUGGAUAACUGUGGUAAUUCUAGAGCUAAUACAUGCGUAAAGUCCCGACUCUUUCUGGGGAGGGAUGUAUUUAUUAGAUAAGAAACCUUCCCCUUUGGGUUGCGUGCCGAGUCACAAUAACUGCUCGAAUCGCAUGGCUUCACGCCGGCGAUGGUUCAUUCAAAUUUCUGCCCUAUCAGCUUUCGAUGGUAGGAUCGAGGCCUACCAUGGCGUUUACGGGUAACGGAGAAUUAGGGUUCGAUUCCGGAGAGGGAGCCUGAGAGAUGGCUACCACAUCCAAGGAAGGCAGCAGG